Molecule: long non-coding RNA, 1020 nt
Organism: Suricata suricatta (meerkat)
Lineage: Eukaryota; Metazoa; Chordata; Mammalia; Carnivora; Herpestidae
Exons: 4
Source: RefSeq, a predicted model, not a curated record
UCUAUGGGAAAAUCAACAGAGCAUCUGUUGCUCUGAGCUUCAAAACAAAAACGUCCUCCACUGUGCUAGGAGAUAACAUCCGCAGACGGCUGAAAAUGAAAAUAAAAUAAACAGAGGACUGCAGAUUGUUCAAAUUAGCCUACAUUAAAGCCAGAGGAACAGCCUGUCAUCUCGCUGUUAAAUAAGACCGUGGCUGCUGCUGAUUUGAAGGGACAGAUGACUGAAUGACAAGUGCGAAUAAACCCUGGAAAAGGUGCGAAGUGAGCCAUAGGGAAGCAAGGAACGCAGAGCAGAUGGACAAUUGUAUUUGAACAGGAGAAAAAUAGAAUUUUUAGGGCUCCCAAGGAAUUUGGAACAAGAACUUAGGAACUUAGGAACCCGCUACAAGAAACUGCAGAAAUGUGGUCACCGGCAGUUAAACAGAAGGUAGGAACAAUCAGGAAAUGGAGUGGCUAUUUGAAGGCAACUUGAAGGAGUCCUGUGGUAAGGAAGAUGUUCUGUAUUUUGACUGCAUCAAUGUCAAUAUCCUGCCUUCCCAACACGCCAGAGCUCACUGUCUUCCUUCUCAUCAGAAGCCAUCCCCUUCUACAAGAGCUGAAUCGUGUCUGACAGCCCCACUGGUACUGCCCCCGUUUUGCUGCUGAGGAAACGGGGGCUGCAGAAGACUCUUUGCUCAAUCUCACAUAGCUGAUGAGAAGAACUUUGGACUUGAACCGAGGCAUGCCAUUCUGCAAAGGCCACACUCCUCGAACAACUGAGAAUUCAGGGAUGGUCAACUGCCAGGAAUAAAGUCAGUAUCUUCUCUAUUUUUCGGAGACAGUGCCUACUGACAUUCCUCACAGUGGCCUGAGUGGAGGACUCUGCCCACAACUGCAGAAGCCCUUCUCAGUAUCUUGUGUUCCUAAAACUUGGGGCUCAAAAAAUCCCUAGGUCCCUGGCUGUGCAGUCUCUUAUUCCCAAAUCAUCCAUCCCUCCUAGAGCAAUGAGUGUGUAUUAGCAAUAAAGGAAAUAAGUCACGAA